This 124-nucleotide ribosomal RNA is filed under the name uncultured bacterium. Its description in RNAcentral is "partial 16S ribosomal RNA". The record is from RNAcentral.
GCCGGGGCUUCUUCUCCCACUACCGUCAUCAUCGUCGUGGGUGAAAGCGCUUUACAACCCUAAGGCCUUCUUCACGCACGCGGCAUUGCUGGAUCAGGGUUGCCCCCAUUGUCCAAUAUUCCCC